GGGCGCGUAGCUCAGCGGGAGAGCACCGUCUUCACACGGCGGGGGUCGUAGGUUCAAUCCCUACCGCGCCCACCA
RNAcentral lists this transfer RNA (75 nucleotides) under Alphaproteobacteria bacterium. RNAcentral's name for it is "tRNA-Val". It matches the Rfam family "tRNA". From Rfam's summary of the family: Transfer RNA (tRNA) molecules are approximately 80 nucleotides in length. Their secondary structure includes four short double-helical elements and three loops (D, anti-codon, and T loops). Further hydrogen bonds mediate the characteristic L-shaped molecular structure. tRNAs have two regions of fundamental functional importance: the anti-codon, which is responsible for specific mRNA codon recognition, and the 3' end, to which the tRNAs corresponding amino acid is attached (by aminoacyl-tRNA synthetases). tRNAs cope with the degeneracy of the genetic code in two manners: having more than one tRNA (with a specific anti-codon) for a particular amino acid; and 'wobble' base-pairing, i.e. permitting non-standard base-pairing at the 3rd anti-codon position. RNAcentral also lists the same sequence under 3 other names. The record is from RNAcentral. Lineage: Bacteria; Pseudomonadati; Pseudomonadota; Alphaproteobacteria.